AUUGAACGCUAACGGCGUGCUUAACACAUGCAAGUCGAACGGCAGCACAGCAGUAGCAAUACUGUGGGUGGCGAGUGGCGGACGGGUGAGUAAUGCAUAGGAAUCUGCCUUGUAAUGGGGGAUAACCCGGGGAAACUCGGGCUAAUACCGCAUAAUCUUUACGAAGCAAAGUGGGGGACCGUAAGGCCUCACGUUAUAAGAUGAGCCUAUGUUGGAUUAGCUAGUUGGUGGGGUAAAGGCCUACCAAGGCGACGAUCCACAGCUGGUCUGAGAGGAUGAUCAGCCACACUGGGACUGAGACACGGCCCAGACUCCUACGGGAGGCAGCAGUGGGGAAUAUUGGACAAUGGGGGAAACCCUGAUCCAGCAACGCCGUGUGUGUGAAGAAGGCCUUAGGGUUGUAAAGCACUUUCAGUAGGGAAGAAAAGCUUAGGGGUAAUAUCCUUGAGUAUUGGCGUUACCUACAGAAGAAGCACUGGCUAACUCUGUGCCAGCCGCCGCCGUAA
RNAcentral lists this ribosomal RNA (506 nucleotides) under uncultured bacterium. RNAcentral describes it as "partial 16S ribosomal RNA". It matches the Rfam family "Bacterial small subunit ribosomal RNA", at positions 30 to 523 of the family's 1533-position model. The record is from RNAcentral.